CUUCAUCUUGGCGACCUUGCCUUGCCGUGGAUUGUUUUUAGUUGUUUGUAUUAUUUGUGCUUUUUAAGAAUAUUUUUUUAAUUCGGAUACUUUUAUAAUAGCUUUAAUAGUAUUAUUAACAUAGUGCAUAAAAUGGUGUCCUGUUUUUAACGCAGUUGGAGUAGCAGAAACAAAUGUAGAUAAAAAAAUCUGCAGGAAUAACGUUUCAAUUAUGACAGAAGCUCAAAACAAAUGACUGUGAAUGAAAAGCCCUAUUAAAAGCUUUCCAGAAGAUCCUGCGAAGAAGACAUGAAGUAUAGAUCAGAUUUGUUAAUAGAGGAGUAUGUUCAAAACACUUUUUAGAAAAAGAUAUUGACAGAACUUCACUUUCAUCUGUUCGUUUGAGAGACUGUGCUGUUCCAAUAGCUUAUGUCACACAGAAUCAGCUGAGAGAAGUGGUCUACAAAAAACCAGAAAGGAAACGGAAUAUGUGGCUACGAAAAGCAAAAGAAAGGUUUACAAAGCAAAUGUGACACAUUUUUUUAUAAUAUUUAGGAAUGUCAGCAAAUUACAUUAAAAAAUGUAUGUAAAGAUUUUUUGCAAUAAAAAUGUUUAUAUUUA
Diabrotica virgifera virgifera (western corn rootworm) is the source of this 600-nucleotide long non-coding RNA. RefSeq lists it as uncharacterized. Lineage: Eukaryota; Metazoa; Arthropoda; Insecta; Coleoptera; Chrysomelidae. The transcript has 3 exons. The record is from RefSeq and is a predicted model, not a curated record.